CUUACCAUGCAAGUCGAGCGAUGAAACCCCUUCGGGAGUGGAUUAGCGGCGGACGGGUGAGUAACACGUGGGUAACCUGCCUCAAAGAGGGGGAUAGCCUCCCGAAAGGGAGAUUAAUACCGCAUAACAAGUAACUUCCGCAUGGAAGUAACUUUAAAGGAGAAAUCCGCUUUGAGAUGGACCCGCGGCGCAUUAGCUAGUUGGUAGGGUAACGGCCUACCAAGGCAACGAUGCGUAGCCGACCUGAGAGGGUGAUCGGCCACAUUGGAACUGAGAGACGGUCCAGACUCCUACGGGAGGCAGCAGUGGGGAAUAUUGCACAAUGGGCGAAAGCCUGAUGCAGCAACGCCGCGUGAGUGAAGAAGGUUUUCGGAUUGUAAAGCUCUGUCUUUGGGGACGAUAAUGACGGUACCCAAGGAGGAAGCCACGGCUGACUACGUGCCAGCAGCCGCGGUAAUACGUAGGUGGCAAGCGUUGUCCGGAAUUACUGGGCGUAAAGAGUGCGUAGGCGGAUAUUUAAGUGAGAUGUGAAAUACCCGGGCUUAACCCGGGCACUGCAUUUCAAACUGGAUAUCUAGAGUGCAGGAGAGGAGAACGGAAUUCCUAGUGUAGCGGUGAAAUGCGUAGAUAUUAGGAAGAACACCAGUGGCGAAGGCGGUUCUCUGGACUGUAACUGACGCUGAGGCACGAAAGCGUGGGUAGCAAACAGGAUUAGAUACCCUGGUAGUCCACGCCGUAA
This 739-nucleotide ribosomal RNA is filed under the name uncultured bacterium. Its description in RNAcentral is "bacterial SSU rRNA". It matches the Rfam family "Bacterial small subunit ribosomal RNA", at positions 48 to 805 of the family's 1533-position model. The record is from RNAcentral.